GACGAACGCUGGCGGCGUGCUUAACACAUGCAAGUCGAGCGGUAAGGCCCUUUCGGGGGUACGACGAGCGGCGAACGGGUGAGUAACACGUGGGUGACCUGCCCUCAGCUCUGGGAUAAGCCUGGGAAACCGGGUCUAAUACUGGAUAUGACUCCAUGACGCAUGUUGUGGGGUGGAAAGCCUUGUGCGGCUGAGGAUGGGCCC
RNAcentral lists this ribosomal RNA (204 nucleotides) under uncultured bacterium. RNAcentral's name for it is "partial 16S ribosomal RNA". It matches the Rfam family "Bacterial small subunit ribosomal RNA", at positions 28 to 232 of the family's 1533-position model. The record is from RNAcentral.